AGAGUUUGAUCCUGGCUCAGGAUGAACGCUAGCGACAGGCCUAACACAUGCAAGUCGAGGGGUAACAUGAGUGCUUGCACUUGAUGACGACCGGCGCACGGGUGCGUAACGCGUAUGCAACUUACCUUGUACUGGGGAAUAGCCCGUGGAAACGCGGAUUAAUGUCCCAUAACACUACAAUUUCGCAUGGAAAAGUGGUUAAAGUUCCGACGGUACAAGAUGGGCAUGCGUGACAUUAGCUAGUUGGUGAGGUAAGGGCUCACCAAGGCGACGAUGUCUAGGGGUUCUGAGAGGAAGGUCCCCCACACUGGUACUGAGACACGGACCAGACUCCUACGGGAGGCAGCAGUGAGGAAUAUUGGUCAAUGGGCGCAAGCCUGAACCAGCCAUGUCGCGUGCAGGAAGACUGCCCUACGGGUUGUAAACUGCUUUUGUAUGGGAAGAAACGUUGGUACGUGUACCAAUUUGCCGGUACCAUACGAAUAAGGAUCGGCUAACUCCGUGCCAGCAGCCGUGGUAAUACGGAGGAUCCAAGCGUUAUCCGGAUUUAUUGGGUUUAAAGGGUGCGUAGGCGGUAGAAUAAGUCAGUGGUGAAAUCCUGCAGCUUAACUGUAGAACUGCCACUGAUACUGUUUUACUUGAGUGUAAUUGAGGUAGGCGGAAUGUGUUGUGUAGCGGUGAAAUGCAUAGAUAUAACACAGAACACCGAUUGCGAAGGCAGCUUACUAAGUUAUAACUGACGCUGAUGCACGAAAGCGUGGGUAGCGAACAGGAUUAGAUACCCUGGUAGUCCACGCCGUAAACGAUGAUUACUCGCUGUAGGCAAUACACCGUCUGUGGCUGAGCGAAAGCAUUAAGUAAUCCACCUGGGGAGUACGUUGGCAACAAUGAAACUCAAAGGAAUUGACGGGGGCCCGCACAAGCGGAGGAACAUGUGGUUUAAUUCGAUGAUACGCGAGGAACCUUACCUGGACUUAAAUGUAGAUUGACGUAUCCAGAGAUGGAUAUUUCUUCGGACAAUUUACAAGGUGCUGCAUGGUUGUCGUCAGCUCGUGCCGUGAGGUGUCGGGUUAAGUCCCAUAACGAGCGCAACCCCUGUUGUUAGUUACCAGCACAUCAUGGUGGGGACUCUAACAAGACUGCCGGUGUAAACCGCGAGGAAGGUGGGGAUGACGUCAAAUCAGCACGGCCCUUACGUCCAGGGCUACACACGUGUUACAAUGGCCGGUACAGAGGGCAGCUACUUGGUGACAAGAUGCGAAUCUCAAAAACCGGUCUCAGUUCGGAUCGAAGUCUGCAACCCGACUUCGUGAAGCUGGAUUCGCUAGUAAUCGCAUAUCAGCCAUGAUGCGGUGAAUACGUUCCCGGGCCUUGUACACAC
Molecule: ribosomal RNA, 1381 nt
Filed under: metagenome
Description: bacterial SSU rRNA
Rfam family: Bacterial small subunit ribosomal RNA
Source: RNAcentral